AUCGCAGAACGAUUUAUUUCUCUUUUUCACCUCGAUCUUUGGCCUCUUGUGAUUUACCAAAACCAACAUGUGAAGUUACAACGCUGACGAAGGAGUUUCAUCAGUAGAGUGUGUCCUGGUAAAUGUGUGCUCGGAAACAUGCAGAUUACAGUAUUUACAGAGCCGACCUUGAGGCACCCACUGAUGGAUAAUCUGUUUACCUAAAAACAGCCCACCACAAUCCAUGUUUACCAGCUGUGAAAGUGCAGGCCAAAAAUCUUCCUUCACCUGUGGGCCUCUUCCCACAUGUAGAUAAGCACUUCAGGAGAAACCUGCCUGUGAUCUGCUAAGAUGCACAGAUUCAACUCUGGCCCAUUGUCAUCCCAACACCUCAUCUGUCAUCAGUUUCAUUUAGUGUCGGUCUAUUGCAAAGGUUCUUAUAAACUUUAAAUGAGACUUUGUGUUAAGCAGGGGUUUCCAAACUUUUCAUUCCACAACAUAUUAAGCCCAGGAUACACAGCAGGAUUUUUGCAAUCCAAUAAGACCUUAUCACACUGUGUGACAAGGAUUGUUUAAACUUCAGCAGUAGACUGUCGAUGAAGACACCUAUUGCAUCUGAGGCUGCGACAUCCGUCAUCAGCAUGCGCUAGUGGUAAACAAAUACAGGUAUGCAGGUCGUAGAAGCAAACACGUUGUUGAUGUGAGUUGAUCAUGCUGAACUACUUACACUGUCAUAAAACUAUCGUAUGUGUCUUUGGUCCCAGGACUGGGAAAACAGACGUCUUUAAACCUCUCACAAUGUAUGAGAUAGGACCACCAAUUAAGAACCACGAUCACAGAAAUCUUCACGAUUGUUUCACGAUUGGUAAUCUUUCAUCUGGGACAGCCAAAAAUCGUGCCAUGUAUUAUGGGCUUUAGACAGGUGUAAUCAUCCACAGUUUAAAAACCCUGAGUAUGAGAAAGAGUAUGUUGUAUUGUAAUUAAAGUCACAUCUAAGUGUUAUGGAACAGUUUGUCAUUAUAUUCACAGUAUUACAUGGUUCUUUCAGCAGUUACUACGUUACAGUGCUCUUAAAUUGUCCUGAUCAGCUUUGGGUCUUGUGAAGUAAUGUAAUGAGAAUGUGAUCAGUAGCUUUGCAGUAUUUUUGUUACACUGUGGCUGUAAUCAUAUUAACACAUAGGUUAAACAUUUUAUUCAAAUUUGGUAAACAGACUAGUCAAUAUAAUUCAUGCUGUGAUGCUGGAUUAAACCUGGUCAAAUGAU
Long non-coding RNA from Paramisgurnus dabryanus, 1242 nucleotides. RefSeq lists it as uncharacterized. Lineage: Eukaryota; Metazoa; Chordata; Actinopteri; Cypriniformes; Cobitidae. The record is from RefSeq and is a predicted model, not a curated record.